UUUGAUCCUGGCUCAGGACGAACGCUGGCGGCGUGCCUAAUACAUGCAAGUCGAACGCUUCUUUCCUCCCGAGUGCUUGCACUCAAUUGGAAAGAGGAGUGGCGGACGGGUGAGUAACACGUGGGUAACCUACCCAUCAGAGGGGGGAUAACACUUGGAAACAGGUGCUAAUACCGCAUAACAGUUUAUGCCGCAUGGCAUAAGAGUGAAAGGCGCUUUCGGGUGUCGCUGAUGGAUGGACCCGCGGUGCAUUAGCUAGUUGGUGAGGUAACGGCUCACCAAGGCCACGAUGCAUAGCCGACCUGAGAGGGUGAUCGGCCACACUGGGACUGAGACACGGCCCAGACUCCUACGGGAGGCAGCAGUAGGGAAUCUUCGGCAAUGGACGAAAGUCUGACCGAGCAACGCCGCGUGAGUGAAGAAGGUUUUCGGAUCGUAAAACUCUGUUGUUAGAGAAGAACAAGGACGUUAGUAACUGAACGUCCCCUGACGGUAUCUAACCAGAAAGCCACGGCUAACUACGUGCCCAGCAGCCGCGGUAAUACGU
RNAcentral lists this ribosomal RNA (547 nucleotides) under Enterococcus faecalis. RNAcentral describes it as "bacterial SSU rRNA". It matches the Rfam family "Bacterial small subunit ribosomal RNA", at positions 12 to 528 of the family's 1533-position model. The record is from RNAcentral. Lineage: Bacteria; Bacillati; Bacillota; Bacilli; Lactobacillales; Enterococcaceae.